GACGGAGGAUGCAAGCGUUAUCCGGAAUGAUUGGGCGUAAAGCGUCCGCAGGUGGCAGUUCAAGUCUGCUGUCAAAGACCGGGGCUUAACUUCGGAAAGGCAGUGGAAACUGAACAGCUAGAGUAUGGUAGGGGCAGAGGGAAUUCCUGGUGUAGCGGUGAAAUGCGUAGAUAUCGUCAAGAACACCUAUAGCGAAGGCAGCUAACUAAACUUUAACUGACGCUGAGGCACGAAAGUGUGGGGAUCAAACAGG
RNAcentral lists this ribosomal RNA (253 nucleotides) under uncultured bacterium. RNAcentral's name for it is "partial 16S ribosomal RNA". It matches the Rfam family "Bacterial small subunit ribosomal RNA", at positions 524 to 776 of the family's 1533-position model. The record is from RNAcentral.